CCUACGGGCGGCUGCAGUGGGGAAUAUUGGACAAUGGGGGGAACCCUGAUCCAGCCAUGCCGCGUGUGUGAAGAAGGCCCUCGGGUUGUAAAGCACUUUCAGUGAGGAAGAACGCCUGGUGGUUAAUACCCAUCAGGAAAGACAUCACUCACAGAAGAAGCACCGGCUAACUCCGUGCCAGCAGCCGCGGUAAUACGGAGGGUGCGAGCGUUAAUCGGAAUUACUGGGCGUAAAGCGCGCGUAGGUGGCUUGAUAAGCCGGUUGUGAAAGCCCCGGGCUCAACCUGGGAACGGCAUCCGGAACUGUCAAGCUAGAGUGCAAGAGAGGAAGGUAGAAUUCCCGGUGUAGCGGUGAAAUGCGUAGAGAUCGGGAGGAAUACCAGUGGCGAAGGCGGCCUUCUGGACUGACACUGACACUGAGGUGCGAAAGCGUGGGUAGCAAACAGGAUUAGAUACCCCUGUAGUC
This 465-nucleotide ribosomal RNA is filed under the name Vreelandella stevensii. RNAcentral describes it as "partial 16S ribosomal RNA". It matches the Rfam family "Bacterial small subunit ribosomal RNA", at positions 338 to 795 of the family's 1533-position model. Lineage: Bacteria; Pseudomonadati; Pseudomonadota; Gammaproteobacteria; Oceanospirillales; Halomonadaceae. The record is from RNAcentral.